RNAcentral lists this ribosomal RNA (465 nucleotides) under uncultured bacterium. RNAcentral describes it as "partial 16S ribosomal RNA". It matches the Rfam family "Bacterial small subunit ribosomal RNA", at positions 338 to 795 of the family's 1533-position model. The record is from RNAcentral.
CCUACGUGUGGCAGCAGUGGGGAAUAUUGCGCAAUAGGCGAAAGCCUGACGCAGCGACGCCGCGUGAGGGAUGAAGGUCUUCGGAUCGUAAACCUCUGUCAGCAGGGAAGAACGGUCACUGUGCUAAUCAGCAGUGACUUGACGGUACCUGCAAAGGACGCACCGGCUAACUCCGUGCCAGCAGCCGCGGUAAUACGGCGGGUGCGAGCGUUAAUCGGAAUUACUGGGCGUAAGGCGCUCGUAGGCGGUAUGUCAAGUCUAGGGUGAAAUCCCCGCGCUCAACGUGGGAACUGCCUUUGAAACUGGUAAACUGGAGUGGGUGAGAGGAGAGUGGAAUUCCAGGUGUAGGAGUGAAAUCCGUAGAUAUCUGGAGGAACAUCAGUGGCGAAGGCGACUAGCUGGAACAUAACUGACGCUGAGGAGCGAAAGCGUGGGUAGCAAACAGGAUUAGAUACCCCAGUAGUC